GAUCCUGACUCAGAUUGAACGCUGGCGGCAGGCUUAACACAUGCAAGUCGAACGGUAACAGGGAUUAGCUUGCUAAUUUGCUGACGAGUGGCGGACGGGUGAGUAAUGCUUGGGAAUCUGGCUUAUGGAGGGGGAUAACUACGGGAAACUGUAGCUAAUACCGCGUAAUAUCGGAAGAUUAAAGGGUGGGACUUUCGGGCCACCUGCCAUAAGAUGAGCCCAAGUGGGAUUAGGUAGUUGGUUAGGUAAAGGCUGACCAAG
Molecule: ribosomal RNA, 261 nt
Filed under: uncultured bacterium
Lineage: Bacteria
Description: partial 16S ribosomal RNA
Rfam family: Bacterial small subunit ribosomal RNA
Source: RNAcentral